UACGGAGGGUGCAAGCGUUAUCCGGAAUCAUUGGGUUUAAAGGGUCCGCAGGCGGAUUUAUAAGUCAGUGGUGAAAUCCUAUCGCUUAACGAUAGAACUGCCAUUGAUACUGUAGGUCUUGAAUUCGGUCGAAGUGGGCGGAAUGUGUAGUGUAGCGGUGAAAUGCAUAGAUAUUACACAGAACACCGAUAGCGAAGGCAGCUCACUAGGCCUGGAUUGACGCUCAGGGACGAAAGCGUGGGGAUCAAACAGGAUUAGAUACCCUGGUAGUCCACGCUGUAAACGAUGAUUACUCGUUUUCGGCGAUAUACAGUCGGAGACUAAGCGAAAGUGAUAAGUAAUCCACCUGGGGAGUACGAUCGCAAGGUUGAAACUCAAAGGAAUUGACGGGGGCCCGCACAAGCGGUGGAGCAUGUGGUUUAAUUCGAUGAUACGCGAGGAACCUUACCAGGGCUUGAAAGUUAGUGAAGGAAGUGGAAACAUUUCCGUCAGCAAUGACACGAAACUAGGUGCUGCAUGGCUGUCGUCAGCUCGUGCCGUGAGGUGUUGGGUUAAGUCCCGCAACGAGCGCAACCCCCAUCUUUAGUUGCUAGCAGGUAACGCUGAGGACUCUAAAGAAACUGCCUACGCAAGUAGAGAGGAAGGCGGGGACGACGUCAAGUCAUCACGGCCCUUACGUCCUGGGCCACACACGUGCUACAAUGGUAGGUACAGAGGGCAGCUACCGGGUGACCGGAUGCGAAUCUCUAAAGCCUAUCUCAGUUCGGAUUGGAGUCUGCAACUCGACUCUAUGAAGCUGGAAUCGCUAGUAAUCGCGCAUCAGCCAUGGCGCGGUGAAUACGUUCCCGGGCCU
RNAcentral lists this ribosomal RNA (853 nucleotides) under uncultured bacterium. Its description in RNAcentral is "SSU rRNA". It matches the Rfam family "Bacterial small subunit ribosomal RNA", at positions 524 to 1381 of the family's 1533-position model. The record is from RNAcentral.